Long non-coding RNA from Ostrea edulis (European flat oyster), 1584 nucleotides. RefSeq lists it as uncharacterized. The transcript has 3 exons. NCBI's taxonomy places the organism in Eukaryota, Metazoa, Mollusca, Bivalvia, Ostreida, Ostreidae. The record is from RefSeq and is a predicted model, not a curated record.
UAUAUCUACAUCCAAUAUAUUUGAUCAAAAUAAAGCCUCGUGAGCUUCUAUACCGUAAUUCACAUUUCCAAUCCUGAUCAAGAAAACGCUUACGAUAAGAUGUGGUAGAUAAGCAUAUGCAAGAGUCUGGAUGACCAAGACUUUAACAGACUUCCGCCAAAUUUGAGCCCGCCAUCGACAACAUGAGCAGGAAAAGAGUGGCAAAGUGAUGAAAACGAAGAUCCUGAAGCUAAUACAGCCAGAAAAACGGAUAGUGACGAUUGAACUAAGGAAAAUAUAAAAUGCUGAAAUUAAAAGGAAGAAAAAAGAAAUUCAAGCCGAAAACAAGAAGAAAUAAAGAAGCAAUAAUAGACUCAAACCAGCAAUCUUUGCAAAUGCAAGAAUGUAGAACCCAGCAGUAAUUACGUGCCCGAGUCCUGCAGUUCGAAUGUUCCAGUACUCGUCGGCAACACUUCUGGACCUAGCAGUAUGCUUAAGACUACUACAUCAAUCAGCAACACACCUGUACCAGUCAGCAACUUGAAAGAACCCUGCUAUACUCGUGUGUCUGUGCCAUACAAUAACUCAGUUGUACUUAAUGGUCAAGAUGUGUUAACCUCUGUCAGCAACACCUCAGUACCUUGCAGUUAAAAUAAGCCUGUGCCAGUAAGCAACUCGAAAGAACCCUACUGUCAUACUCGUGUGCUUGUGCCAAAUAACAAAAUUUCGAAUGUAAUUCUUUGAGAUUUAUUUUUAAUCAACUGCUCUAAUAAUGAUGACUGUGCUAUUCAAAAUCUCAACACUCUUAGCCUAUGGUCUUUUCCCAAAGAUUGAGUGUUUGAUGAUUUGUGGAUUCAAAGGAGAGUAUAUAUAUACAUUAUUUGCUGUGGUUAGGAAUUACCAUAGUGCUUAACAGUAAUCUUAUUACAGUUUAUUUCUAGUCAUCAUGAUCUAUUGUUUUAAAAUAUUAAUUAAGCUCUGAUUUUAAUUGUAUAAUUUCAUUUUGAUUAUGUUUAUAACCUAAAUUCAAAUCUUUGUCAGAAAUUAAUCUGUUAUGUUAAUAAAUAUUUUGCUUUUUACAUAUCUAUUCGCAUGGGGGGAAAAUGGAUGCGCAUCGAUGGGCUGAUAUAAUUUUUUAUCUUUCUAUUUCAAAUUGGUAUAAUUGUCAAUUUUGUGAACUAUUACAUGGUAACUAUUGUAAGUUUCAUAUAAUGUCCAAAAAUUGUUACAGAUAUAGCACCCCCUUGUAAUUAACCUUUUACAAAUUUACUCUAUGGGACAUAAACUGACAAAUCAUUGGAAAAAAUUCAACUCUACUCCAUGAAAUGUAUUUGAAUUUUAAUAUCACAUGUAUAAUGUGUCUAUUUUUUAUCAUUUUAAAAAAAUUUUUGCAUCCUUAGGAUCAUUAUGAAUUUGUGUUAAUUACUUAUUGAACUACAUAUUACAUAUAUUAGAAAUAUUUAAAACUACUAUACAUCUGUAUAAUCUCCUUUGUUAGUUAUGUGAUUAUUAUUGAAUGUACUUGUCAACUGAUGAAAAAUUUAAGCUGUUACACAGGCAUAAUUAUGUAUUGUUAAAUACAGUUCCAAUUUUCAAAUACCUGUC